Molecule: ribosomal RNA, 253 nt
Filed under: uncultured bacterium
Lineage: Bacteria
Description: partial 16S ribosomal RNA
Rfam family: Bacterial small subunit ribosomal RNA
Source: RNAcentral
UACGUAGGGUGCAAGCGUUGUCCGGAAUUAUUGGGCGUAAAGAGCGUGUAGGCGGCCAGGUAGGUCUGCUGUGAAAACUCGAGGCUCAACCUCGAGACGUCGGCGGAAACCAUCUGGCUAGAGUCCGGAAGAGGAGAGUGGAAUUCCUGGUGUAGCGGUAAAAUGCGCAGAUAUCAGGAAGAACACCCGUGGCGAAGGCGGCUCUCUGGGACGGUACUGACGCUGAGACGCGAAAGCGUGGGGAGCGAACAGG